RNAcentral lists this long non-coding RNA (881 nucleotides) under Panax ginseng (ginseng). RNAcentral's name for it is "long non-coding RNA (PGIN_LNC000696)". The record is from RNAcentral. Lineage: Eukaryota; Viridiplantae; Streptophyta; Magnoliopsida; Apiales; Araliaceae.
UUAACUUAUACACAAAGCAUAAACUAUCUAACACAUAACAAUACUAUUCUUCAACCAUACUUUUACAAAUUAGCUGCACAUUAUAUCCCAAGCUGAACUUGGCAUUUUCCUUUUCCUGUAACUGGCCGUAUUCGCCUUAUCUGCAAUGUUUUAUCAUGAUAUAGCAAGGGUGAGCAUGAAAGUUGCCCAACAAGUUUAAAAACAAGGUAAAGAUAUAUCAUGAUGGAAAGAGUUUGAAUAAUAAGCUGGCUAUCCUUCACAAUGUAUUUGUGAAUUAGCAUGAACAAAGUUUUGACUGAACAAGUAUUGAACAUGAACAAUGGUAUAUCUGGACCAACUGGUAAUGAAGGUGAUCAGCUUUUCAUACCCUACUUAUACAUGCAAGAUGUACAUAGUACAAUUCAUAAGCAUAUCUGUCUGAAACCACUCUUAAAAGAGUUUAAGUAAAAAGAACUUGAAAAACUUGCCUGAACCAUUGAUUACCGUAACGCAAUAUAAUAAGCUUCUCCUGAAGACCUAAUAUUAAUAAUAUAGAUCUCCAAUAUUAGAAUAAUAUCAUCACCGUUAUAAAAUAACUUAAACACAUAAUCCUAUCAGUCUAUACAGCAUAUAAAACCUAUAAUAGAUCUUUCGGUUAGUCAUAACAUAUAGUUAAGUAUUAGACAUUAGUUUUAAGUCUUAAUAUUAUUAUUAUACUUUGAUAUUCUUUUAAUCACAUCAUAACUUAUACUUAUAAGUUAUUCAUUUUUAUAUGUUAUCCUAGUAAAUUAGAUAACAUCUUAGUAAACCGAAAUACCAUUUCAGUAAGACGGAUUUUAUUUCAGUAUCCCGAAAUCACUAUUCUUUUUCACGAAAAAUACCAAAUCAACUUAUUAUUUUUU